RNAcentral lists this ribosomal RNA (162 nucleotides) under Mallotus cumingii. RNAcentral describes it as "5.8S ribosomal RNA". It matches the Rfam family "5.8S ribosomal RNA". Rfam says of the family: 5.8S ribosomal RNA (5.8S rRNA) is a component of the large subunit of the eukaryotic ribosome. It is transcribed by RNA polymerase I as part of the 45S precursor that also contains 18S and 28S rRNA. Lineage: Eukaryota; Viridiplantae; Streptophyta; Magnoliopsida; Malpighiales; Euphorbiaceae. The record is from RNAcentral.
AACGACUCUCGGCAACGGAUAUCUCGGCUCUCGCAUCGAUGAAGAACGCAGCAAAAUGCGAUACUUGGUGUGAAUUGCAGAAUCCCGUGAAUCAUCGAGUUUUUGAACGCAAGUUGCGCCCGAAGCCUUCCGGCCAAGGGCACGUCUGCCUGGGCGUCACGC